UUGGGCUCAAGUGAUCCUCCUGCCUCGGUCUCCCAAAGUACUGGGAUUAAAGGCAUGAGCUACUACAUCCAGCCAAAAGCUACAUUUUCAAGACUAGAUAAAAAGGCUACAAGGUUCAUCUGCAAGUUUCUUCAAAUGGUUGCAAUGCUUAGUGCAACCUCCAUCUCCUAGGCUCCAGUGAUCCUCCUGCCUCAGCCUCCCAAAGUGCUGGGAUUACAAGCAUGAGCUACUACAUCUGUCCAAAAGCUGCAUUUCCAAGACCAGGUUUUGGCAGUUACAGGUUGCAGGGUUCUCUGGGCCCAUCCAGGAGAUGAGAGAAAAAGAAAACUCAGGGCCUUGUACAGCGUCACCCCCAAAGUCCCGAGGUUCCUGGACAGCCUUUCUUCCUCUACACUUCCUAGAGUCCUCUUAUGUCUGUUAAAUUUUUUCCAGGGUGUCUAGUUGUAUUU
This 449-nucleotide long non-coding RNA is filed under the name Homo sapiens (human). RNAcentral's name for it is "HSALNT0379733". Lineage: Eukaryota; Metazoa; Chordata; Mammalia; Primates; Hominidae. The record is from RNAcentral.